GCCGGCAUGGUGUAGUGGUUUGAACACUGGACUAGGACUCUGGAGACAAGGGUUCGAUUCCCAGCAUGGGUA
This 72-nucleotide transfer RNA is filed under the name Phrynosoma platyrhinos (Desert horned lizard). RNAcentral's name for it is "tRNA-OTHER". The record is from RNAcentral. Lineage: Eukaryota; Metazoa; Chordata; Lepidosauria; Squamata; Phrynosomatidae.